Molecule: ribosomal RNA, 2124 nt
Filed under: Triticum aestivum (bread wheat)
Lineage: Eukaryota; Viridiplantae; Streptophyta; Magnoliopsida; Poales; Poaceae
Description: partial small subunit ribosomal RNA
Source: RNAcentral
AUGGCUGAGCUUGCCGGGGGUGCUGUCCGCUCGCUGUUGGGCGUCAUCCGCGACGAGGCUAAGCUGCUCGGCGUUGUUGGUGGUGAUCUGCAGUUCAUCAAAGAGGAGAUGGAGAGCAUGAACAGCUUCCUCCUGCACCUCGCCAGGAAGACGCCCCGCAGCGGGGAGCACGACGAGCAGGUCCGCACAUGGAUGAAGCAGGUCCGCGACCUCGCGCACGACUGCAACAACUGCAUCGACAUCUACCUACUCCGCGGUGAUCCGGCUGUGUACCACGCCAGAGGAAUCCUGCUGGGUUAUGUGUGGUGGGUGCCUUGGUUCGUGAAGAAGACGGUCGCUCAGCACCUCGCAGCGACCCAGCUGAGCGACCUCAAAGCCCGGGCGCGUGACGUUGGUGAGCGGCGGCUUAGGUAUGGCGUCGAGGUUCCAACAAAGCUGGACUGCGACAAGCUGCUGACGGAGGUGGUAUCUUCGUCGUCAUUCCAAGCUGCUGGGGGAGUUGUCGCUGAAGGAGACAAUGACUUUGAAGAAGACUACUACCAGGCGAUAACUGAUGAUCCACGAAGGGAGCUCGCCUUUUCCGAGCCUCGAAUUUUUGAGAAAUGCACUGAAAAGCUAAUGCUGUGGCUCGAGCACCAACAUAAAGAAGGUCCAUACCAAGCCAUCGCCAUUGCAGCACCAGAUGAAGAGGAUGGAAGCCACAUUAUAGAUAAAGCGUUGGGACACGAUUCUGUUACGGAAAAGUUCGACCACAUAGUCUCUUUACGGGACAUGCCUGACUAUCAGCUGCAGCUGCAAGAACCCUGGGAUCUUCUUGGCAAAAUCCUGAAGAAGGUGGGUGAGAAGGCCAACGACUCGGGGGAUGAAUUUGGUGAGGAAGAAAUCGAUGAGAAGAUUCAGAAGAUCAAGGAGAAGAUCAAAGAUCACCUAGAGAAAGCUGGUAAUAAAGGUUGCCGAGUUGAACCCUUAGGAGUACUCUGCAGCAUCUUGCGGGUGCUGCUCCAGGACACCACAGCCGCAGGUGAAAAGGCCAUCUCCCGCAGGAUUAGUGUCGAGCAUCCCCAAUUUGUAGCCAUCCUGCGGGAGCUGCUUCCCAACCAGGCCACCCCGCCAGCGAAUGAAGCCGCAAAUAAACUGGGUGAGGAUCACAUCGUGAAGAAUAUCCAAGUCAUCACGCUGAAGAUUCAAGUGGAGCUGCUACCAGUGUCACUUGAGCAGCAAGAUAAAUCAGUGGAAGAAUCAGGCAAAGACCAGUUGUUGCUGCCAUUGUCAGGUGAGGACUGCAUGGAGACGAUUGAAGAAGUUCUGGAGAGGAUCAAAGAGCAUCUGCUGAUUCAAGAAACAGCAGGAAGGGUUAAAAAACAUCUGCAGGGUAAAAGGACAUUGGUUGUUCUCCACAAUGCCUCUGGCUACAAAUGGGACGAGACUGCAAAGGCCUUGGGAGAUUUGGGCUGCAGUUCAAUGGCAGUGGUAGUUACCACAAAAUACAUGCAGAGGGCCAACGAGUUUUGCUAUUGGACAGAACCCAUCGUGUACUCUUCUAUUGAAUACUACCGCGAAACAGCGCUCCAACUUACAAAUCGGCUUGUGAAUGACGACGAGAGGUAUAGCGCCGAGAUCUUCCAUGAGAUCUUGGAGAAAUGUAGGGUGGAUGAGUUCUGCAUAAAGAUGUUCAUCCAUGCUCUGUUUGCCAAUCCAAUGAGGAGCAGAGAAGAACUGGACAAGUUGAGCAACACCCUCGUAUUCGAAGGAACGGUCGAGACUAAUGGCUACAAGAUGAUCAAGUUCUCCUACAAUGAUCUGCCCAGGGAAUACAAGACUUGCUUGCUGUAUCUAGCCAUCUUCCAUAAAGGCGAAAAGAUAAACCGGACAAGGAUAAUUGGCCGGUGGGUUGCAGAAGGACUGAUAACUAGACAAGACUGGCUCAGUUCAGUAAGGGAGGCCGAGCAUUGUUUUGAGGUACUUGCCAACUUGUGGCUUGUCUAUCCUAGUGACGUUGAUGCUGCAGGGAAGGUCAAGAGCGUUACAGUGCAUCAACAAGUGUACAACUUCAUCACCAAGAUGGCCAGGAAAGAACACAUUCUGGACACACGCCUGUCUCGGCACCUGGCUCGCCACUUCUGA